Molecule: ribosomal RNA, 253 nt
Filed under: uncultured bacterium
Lineage: Bacteria
Description: partial 16S ribosomal RNA
Rfam family: Bacterial small subunit ribosomal RNA
Source: RNAcentral
UACGUAGGGGGCAAGCGUUGUCCGGAAUCAUUGGGCGUAAAGAGCGUGUAGGCGGCCCGGUAAGUCCGCUGUGAAAGUCCAGGGCUCAACCCUGGGAUGCCGGUGGAUACUGUCGGGCUCGAGUCCGGAAGAGGAGUGUGGAAUUCCUGGUGUAGCGGUGAAAUGCGCAGAUAUCAGGAGGAACACCCGUAGCGAAGGCGGCACUCUGGGCCGAUUCUGACACUGAGGAGCGAAAGCGUGGGGAGCGAACAGG